AACGCACAUUGCGCCCGCCGGUAUCCCGGCGGGCACGCCCGUCCGAGCGUCGCGCCCACCCGUCGAGCCCUGCUCGUGCUGGGGCCCUGCGGCUGCCGCAGGCCCCGAAAAAUAGCGGCGGUGACUCCGCCGCGCCGAGCGUAGUACAUUGCUCGCUCCGGCGCGGGGGGCGGCUACCGGCCCGUGAGACACAAGCAUGAAAAAGAGUCGACCUCGGAUCGGGCGGGAAUACCCGCUGAACUUAA
RNAcentral lists this unclassified non-coding RNA (245 nucleotides) under uncultured fungus. RNAcentral's name for it is "partial contains 5.8S ribosomal RNA, internal transcribed spacer 2, and large subunit ribosomal RNA". Lineage: Eukaryota; Fungi. The record is from RNAcentral.